Molecule: ribosomal RNA, 360 nt
Filed under: uncultured eukaryote
Lineage: Eukaryota
Description: partial 18S ribosomal RNA
Rfam family: Eukaryotic small subunit ribosomal RNA
Source: RNAcentral
CAAUAGCAUAUAUUAACGUUGUUGCAGUUGAAAAGCUCGUAGUUGAACUUUUGGUAGGAGCGACCUGGCCUUGGGCGCAUGCCCUUGUUUGCCGUGUGUCGUGUCUGGCCAUCCUUUUCCGUUUCGGCGGGAAUCUUUUACUGUGAGUAAACUGGAGUGCUCAAAACAAGACGUUUGUUUGGUACAUUAAAGCAUGGAAUAAUAAGAUAGGACCUGGUUACUAUUUUGUUGGUUUGCAUAGCUAGGUAAUGAUUAACAGGGACAGUUGGGGGUAUUCGUAUUUAAUUGUCAGAGGUGAAAUUCUUGGAUUUAUGAAAGACGAACGACUGCGAAAGCAUUUACCAAGGAUGUUUNCAUUAA